Molecule: long non-coding RNA, 542 nt
Filed under: Monodelphis domestica (gray short-tailed opossum)
Lineage: Eukaryota; Metazoa; Chordata; Mammalia; Didelphimorphia; Didelphidae
Description: lncRNA (ENSMODG00000042626.1)
Source: RNAcentral
GGAUCUUCUGUGGCUGUAGCCAGGAUGUCACCUGAUCCUUUGAGGACAAACAUCUGGAUGACCAUGGAGGGCCCAGGAUGCAGUGGGUGACCUUUACCAAGAACAAUAGUACAGAGGGAAAAGGGUCCUGGACAGAGCCCUGAAAGACACCCAUGAUUAGUGAGCUUCACUUGAAUGAAGAAAAGGAGACUGAGAAGGAGUAGCCUAACAACAGCAGGAAGGUGACCUUUUCUGCUUCCAAAGCCUGGAGGACGUCUCCCAUUUAUAGGUCCACAGGCAUGGUUAUGGGGUCUUCCUGUCUAAAGCCAAAGGAUCAUGGAUCUGUGACAGGCUGGCUCAAAAGGGACAUAUGACCUUGGCUAAGCUAAGGGCAAGUAGAAGACAUCCUCUCUUACAGACUGGACAUGGCUAAUCCCAAUUAUGCCUUUAGCAUUAACUAGUGAAUGAGCCCCUCAUUUUGGAAGAUGUCCAACGCAUUACUAAGGAAAUAGUGGCAGACAGAAGGCUCAGGUGUCCUGUGGUCCAUGGGAUCAUGAGCUGUA